Molecule: ribosomal RNA, 598 nt
Filed under: uncultured bacterium
Lineage: Bacteria
Description: bacterial SSU rRNA
Rfam family: Bacterial small subunit ribosomal RNA
Source: RNAcentral
CCAGACUCCUACGGGAGGCAGCAGUGAGGAAUAUUGGUCAAUGGGCGAGAGCCUGAACCAGCCAAGUCGCGUGAAGGAUGACUGUCUUAUGGAUUGUAAACUUCUUUUGUAGGGGAAUAAAGAAUGGUACGUGUACCAUAGUGAAUGUACCCUACGAAUAAGCAUCGGCUAACUCCGUGCCAGCAGCCGCGGUAAUACGGAGGAUGCGAGCGUUAUCCGGAUUUAUUGGGUUUAAAGGGUGCGUAGGCGGCCUGUUAAGUCAGCGGUGAAAUCUAGGGGCUUAACUCCUAAAUUGCCAUUGAUACUGGUGGGCUUGAGUGUAGAUGAGGUAGGCGGAAUGCGUGGUGUAGCGGUGGAAUGCAUAGAUAUCACGCAGAACUCCAAUUGCGAAGGCAGCUUACUAAGGUACAACUGACGCUGAAGCACGAAAGCGUGGGUAUCAAACAGGAUUAGAUACCCUGGUAGUCCACGCAGUAAACGAUGAUAACUGGGCGUAUGCGAUAUACAGUAUGCUCCUAAGCGAAAGCGUUAAGUUAUCCACCUGGGGAGUACGCCGGCAACGGUGAAACUCAAAGGAAUUGACGGGGGCCCGCACAAG